CAAUUUUCACAAGGACUUACUGUACCAUGGUCAGAGACUUUACAUUCCAUCAACAACCAAUCUCCCCCCAUCUGCAGGGCAUUCCGGUCUCAAAGCCACUCUAGCUCAUUUAGCUGCCUCUUUCUAUUGGCCAGGUAUGUACAUGGACACAAAAACGUUCAUCAGAGAGUGCCUUCCCUGUCAACAGAACAAACCCAUCAACACAAAACCCCUAGGAUUAUUACAACCCAUACCCCCUCCAACCAGAAUCUGGGAUGAACUAACAACUGAUUUUAUCACUCACUUACCAUCAUCGUUCGGCCAUACAGUUAUUUGGGUGGUCUGUGAUCAACUUUCAAAAUCAGCUCAUUUCAUAGCCCUCCCCACGUCCUUCACCGCCUCUCAACUAGCCAACCGUUUUUCUGUGGAGAUUUGCAGGUUGCAUGGCAUUCCGAAAUCCAUAAUCUCAGACCGAGACCCGCUCU
RNAcentral lists this long non-coding RNA (464 nucleotides) under Phaseolus vulgaris (common bean). RNAcentral describes it as "long non-coding RNA (PVUL_LNC000996)". The record is from RNAcentral. Lineage: Eukaryota; Viridiplantae; Streptophyta; Magnoliopsida; Fabales; Fabaceae.